This 278-nucleotide ribosomal RNA is filed under the name uncultured Prevotellaceae bacterium. RNAcentral's name for it is "partial 16S ribosomal RNA". It matches the Rfam family "Bacterial small subunit ribosomal RNA", at positions 511 to 788 of the family's 1533-position model. The record is from RNAcentral. Lineage: Bacteria; Pseudomonadati; Bacteroidota; Bacteroidia; Bacteroidales; Prevotellaceae.
GCAGCCGCGGUAAUACGGAAGGUCCGGGCGUUAUCCGGAUUUAUUGGGUUUAAAGGGAGCGUAGGCCGUUUUUUAAGCGUGUUGUGAAAUGCCGCGGCUCAACCGUGGCACUGCAGCGCGAACUGGAUGACUUGAGUGCGCGGGAGGUAGGCGGAAUUCGUGGUGUAGCGGUGAAAUGCUUAGAUAUCACGAAGAACUCCGAUUGCGAAGGCAGCUUACCGUAGCGUUACUGACGCUGAAGCUCGAAAGUGCGGGUAUCGAACAGGAUUAGAUACCCC